UACGAAGGGGGCUAGCGUUGUUCGGAUUUACUGGGCGUAAAGCGCACGUAGGCGGAUUGUUAAGUCAGGGGUGAAAUCCUGGAGCUCAACUCCAGAACUGCCUUUGAUACUGAGGAUCUUGAGUUCGGGAGAGGUGAGUGGAACUGCGAGUGUAGAGGUGAAAUUCGUAGAUAUUCGCAAGAACACCAGUGGCGAAGGCGGCUCACUGGCCCGAGUACUGACGCUGAGGCACGAAAGCGUGGGGAGCAAACAGGG
This 255-nucleotide ribosomal RNA is filed under the name uncultured bacterium. Its description in RNAcentral is "partial 16S ribosomal RNA". It matches the Rfam family "Bacterial small subunit ribosomal RNA", at positions 524 to 777 of the family's 1533-position model. The record is from RNAcentral.